Molecule: long non-coding RNA, 904 nt
Filed under: Nicotiana benthamiana
Lineage: Eukaryota; Viridiplantae; Streptophyta; Magnoliopsida; Solanales; Solanaceae
Description: long non-coding RNA (NBEN_LNC035799)
Source: RNAcentral
ACAGAUUUCCAUUUAUCUUUUUUCUCCAAUUUUUAGAUUUCCUCCUAUUUUCUUCAUUUACCUAAUUAACCAACAAGACCUAAAUGUCACAAAAGCGCAACGUUUCACUUAUUUGAGAAACCGAACCGUUUCGUUUCCCUUCAAUUGAGAAUUGAGGCUUUGUAUAGUAUCGCCUUUCAUGUAUUCUUCCAUUGUUCGUUCAAAGCUAGAGUUUUGUGCGAGGUGUGAUCUCCCGAUGAGCAUAAUAAAGAACCCCCAAAGUGGAAAGUAAUUUUCAUGUAGAUCACGCAUUCUACAGGAGUUAAUGGCGUUGAAAUUUUUCAUAGUAUUCUUUUUUUCCCAUUGUAAUUCUUUGCCCUCUAUUUUGGUAAUUUUUAUGAAUGAUUUAAUUAAGCUUUUUUGUUUUGGUCAAUUUUGUAAAUGACCAAGUGACAAUUUUUUGGGAGUUCUCUGAGAUUUUUCACAACUUCAAUGACAAAAGUAUGUUGUGGUGAUUCCUAAUCGUUCUAUUCCAGAUUUUAACUUUUUGGAUGCUGGAUAUUUGUCGCUGCAAGUAUGCAACUGAAGCUCUUGGGAUCUGCCUAUGUUGUUUAAGGGGAACGCCAACAAAUUCAAUUUCGUUGCUAAAAGGUGUUGUUUUUAUUGCUAUCAUACUGGAAGAUCUCAUAUUGGUAAGUUAUGUCAUCAAUAUUCUAAAGAUUAUUACAUUGCCUAUAUAUUGACCAUUGAAAGUGCCUGAAUUUGCAAUGGAUGAGCACCAUAUAGUUUACAAAAUUUAGAAGGAAUAUUUAGAAUGAACAUUUAGUUUGCAUAAUUUAUAAGGAAUAAAAAAUUAACAUCUUACUUAUAUGUGUUACACAGUAUUGACAUAUCUGGUUUUUGGGUAUUUCUUGCUAUUCAUGAA